This 1131-nucleotide ribosomal RNA is filed under the name Listeria monocytogenes. RNAcentral describes it as "partial 23S ribosomal RNA". It matches the Rfam family "Bacterial large subunit ribosomal RNA", at positions 398 to 1529 of the family's 2925-position model. The record is from RNAcentral. Lineage: Bacteria; Bacillati; Bacillota; Bacilli; Caryophanales; Listeriaceae.
AGAGUGGAUCCUGAGUACGGCGGAACACGUGAAAUUCCGUCGGAAUCCGGGAGGACCAUCUCCCAAGGCUAAAUACUCCCUAGUGACCGAUAGUGAACCAGUACCGUGAGGGAAAGGUGAAAAGCACCCCGGAAGGGGAGUGAAACAGUUCCUGAAACCGUGUGCCUACAAGUAGUUAGAGCCCGUUAAUGGGUGAUAGCGUGCCUUUUGUAGAAUGAACCGGCGAGUUACGAUUUGUUGCAAGGUUAAGCGGAAAAAGCGGAGCCGUAGCGAAAGCGAGUCUGAAUAGGGCGCAUAAGUAACAGGUCGUAGACCCGAAACCAGGUGAUCUACCCAUGUCCAGGAUGAAGGUAAGGUAAUACUUACUGGAGGUCCGAACCCACGCACGUUGAAAAGUGCGGGGAUGAGGUGUGGGUAGCGGAGAAAUUCCAAUCGAACUUGGAGAUAGCUGGUUCUCUCCGAAAUAGCUUUAGGGCUAGCCUCGAGGUAAAGAGUCAUGGAGGUAGAGCACUGUUUGGACUAGGGGCCCUUCUCGGGUUACCGAAUUCAGAUAAACUCCGAAUGCCAUGUACUUAUACUCGGGAGUCAGACUGCGAGUGAUAAGAUCCGUAGUCGAAAGGGAAACAGCCCAGACCACCAGUUAAGGUCCCCAAAUAUAUGUUAAGUGGAAAAGGAUGUGGGGUUGCUUAGACAACCAGGAUGUUGGCUUAGAAGCAGCCACCAUUGAAAGAGUGCGUAAUAGCUCACUGGUCGAGUGACCCCGCGCCGAAAAUGUACCGGGGCUAAACAUAUUACCGAAACUGUGGAUGAACCUCUUUAGAGGUUCGUGGUAGGAGAGCGUUCUAAGGGCGGUGAAGUCAGACCGGAAGGACUGGUGGAGCGCUUAGAAGUGAGAAUGCCGGUAUGAGUAGCGAAAGAAGGGUGAGAAUCCCUUCCACCGAAUAUCUAAGGUUUCCUGAGGAAGGCUCGUCCGCUCAGGGUUAGUCGGGACCUAAGCCGAGGCCGAUAGGCGUAGGCGAUGGACAACAGGUAGAGAUUCCUGUACCAGUGCUAAUUGUUUAACCGAUGGGGUGACACAGAAGGAUAGGGAAUCGCACGAAUGGAAAUGUGCGUCCAAGCAGUGAGUGUGAG